This 229-nucleotide ribosomal RNA is filed under the name uncultured bacterium. RNAcentral describes it as "partial 16S ribosomal RNA". It matches the Rfam family "Bacterial small subunit ribosomal RNA", at positions 568 to 796 of the family's 1533-position model. The record is from RNAcentral.
CGUGUAGGCGGUGAGAAAAGUCAGAUGUGAAAGACUCGAGCUCAACUUGAGAACUGCAUUUGAAACUGUCUGACUAGAGAGCAGUAGAGGGGAGUGGAAUUUCCGGUGUAGCGGUGAAAUGCGUAGAUAUCGGAAGGAACACCAGUGGCGAAGGCGACUCCCUGGGCUGAAUCUGACGCUGAGGCGCGAAAGCAUGGGGAGCAAACAGGAUUAGAUACCCUGGUAGUCC